UACGUAGGGUGCAAGCGUUGUCCGGAAUUAUUGGGCGUAAAGAGCUCGUAGGCGGUUUGUCGCGUCUGCUGUGAAAACUCGGGGCUCAACUCCGAGCUUGCAGUGGGUACGGGCAGACUAGAGUGCGGUAGGGGAGACUGGAAUUCCUGGUGUAGCGGUGGAAUGCGCAGAUAUCAGGAGGAACACCGGUGGCGAAGGCGGGUCUCUGGGCCGUAACUGACGCUGAGGCACGAAGGCCAGGGGAGCAAACGGG
Molecule: ribosomal RNA, 253 nt
Filed under: uncultured bacterium
Lineage: Bacteria
Description: partial 16S ribosomal RNA
Rfam family: Bacterial small subunit ribosomal RNA
Source: RNAcentral